RNAcentral lists this ribosomal RNA (828 nucleotides) under Klebsiella aerogenes. Its description in RNAcentral is "bacterial SSU rRNA". It matches the Rfam family "Bacterial small subunit ribosomal RNA", at positions 1 to 775 of the family's 1533-position model. The record is from RNAcentral. Lineage: Bacteria; Pseudomonadati; Pseudomonadota; Gammaproteobacteria; Enterobacterales; Enterobacteriaceae.
UUGAGAGUUUGAUCCUGGCUCAGGAUGAACGCUGGCUGUGUGCCUAAUACAUGCAUGUCGAGCGGAGUAUUAAUUUAUUAGUGCUUAGCGGCAAAUGGGUGAGUAACACGUAUUUAACCUACCUCAAAGACUGGGAUAACAACAGGAAACUGUUGCUAAUACCGGAUAUGUAUUUAGAUCGCAUGAUUUAGAUAUCAAAGGAGCGUUUGCUUCACUUUGAAAUGGGAGUGCGUUACAUUAGCUAGUUGGUAGGGUAAUGGCCUACCAAGGCGAUGAUGUAUAGCUGAGUUGAGAGACUGAACAGCCACACUGGGACUGAGAUACGGCCCAGACUCCUACGGGAGGCAGCAACAGCCACACUGGGACUGAGAUACGGCCCAGACUCCUACGGGAGGCAGCAGUAGGGAAUUUUCCACAAUGGACGAAAGUCUGAUGGAGUGACACAGCGUGCAGGAUGAAGGUCUUCGGAUUGUAAACUGCUGUUAUAAGGGAAGAAAAGCUUAGGGAGGAAAUGCCCUAAGUAUGACGGUACCUUGUCAGAAAGCACCGGCUAACUAUGUGCCAGCAGCUGCGGUAAUACAUAGGGUGCAAGCGUUAUCCGAAAUUAUUGGGUGUAAAGAGUUCGUAGGUUGUUUGUUAAGUCAGAAGUUAAAUCCCGGGGCUCAACCCUGGCCCGCUUUUGAUACUAGCAAACUAGAGUUAUAAAGAGGUUAGUGGAAUUCCUAGUGAAGCGGUGAAAUGUGUAGAUAUUAGGAAGAACAUCAAUGGCGAAGGCAGCUAACUGGUUAUGUACUGACACUGAGGAACGAAAGCGUGGGGAGCAAACAG